This 100-nucleotide small nuclear RNA is filed under the name Ovis aries (sheep). The record is from RNAcentral. Lineage: Eukaryota; Metazoa; Chordata; Mammalia; Artiodactyla; Bovidae.
UCGCUUAGGCAGUACAUAUACUAAAUUUGGAAUGAUACAGAGAAUAGCAUGGCCCCUGCGCAAGGAUGACACGCAAAUUCGUGAAGCAUUCCAUAUUUUU